GGGAAUGUAGCUCAGUGGUACAGCGCUUGCCUAGCAUGUAUGAAAUCUUGGGUUCAAUCCUCAACACCA
Molecule: transfer RNA, 69 nt
Filed under: Ictidomys tridecemlineatus (thirteen-lined ground squirrel)
Lineage: Eukaryota; Metazoa; Chordata; Mammalia; Rodentia; Sciuridae
Description: Spermophilus tridecemlineatus (thirteen-lined ground squirrel) tRNA
Rfam family: tRNA
About the family: Transfer RNA (tRNA) molecules are approximately 80 nucleotides in length. Their secondary structure includes four short double-helical elements and three loops (D, anti-codon, and T loops).
Source: Rfam by way of RNAcentral